Molecule: ribosomal RNA, 2882 nt
Filed under: Ulva mutabilis
Lineage: Eukaryota; Viridiplantae; Chlorophyta; Ulvophyceae; Ulvales; Ulvaceae
Description: bacterial LSU rRNA
Rfam family: Bacterial large subunit ribosomal RNA
Source: RNAcentral
AUUAAAAUUUACGAUGGAUACCUAGGCAUUUAGAGUCGAUGAAGGGCGUGGAUACCAACGAAAUGCUUCGGUUAGUUGGAAACAAACUUUGAUCCGAAGAUUCCCGAAUAGGAAAACCUAUAUAACUACUUAAUGAAUUCAUAAUUAAGUAAGAGACAACCUGCUGAAUUGAAACAUCUUAGUAAGCAGAGGAAAAGAAAGCAAACGCGAUUUCCUUAGUAGCGGCGAGCGAAACGGAAAUAGUCUAAUCAUUGAAAAAAAAACUAUUAAACGAAGCAGCUGAAUCCUGCACCAUAGAUGGUGAAAGUCCAGUAGUUUAAAAUAGAAAAAAAUGAUUAUAAAGUAGCAUGGAACACGUGAAAUUCCGUGUGAAUAUACGAGGACCACCUCGUAAGACUAAAUACUCCUAAAUGACCGAUAGUGAAACAGUACCGUGAGGGAAAGGUGAAAAAGAACCCCUGUAGGGGAGUGAAAAAGAACAUGAAAUCGUAAAUUGACAAUCAGUGGGAGCUAAAGUGACCGCGUGCCUGUUGAAGAAUGAGCCGGCGACUUAUAGGUAGUGGCCAGGUUAAAAUAACUUUUUGGAGCCAAAGCGAAAGCAAGUCUGAUAAGGGCGUCUGUCACUAUUUAUAGACCCGAACCCGAGUGAUCUAACCAUGGCCAGGAUGAAUCUUGGGUAACACCAAGUGGAAGACCGAACCGACUGAUGUUGAAAAAUCAGCGGAUGAGCUGUGGUUAGGGGUGAAAUUCCAGUCGAACUCGGAGCUAGCUGGAUCUCCUCGAAAUGUGUUGAGGCGCAGCGGUUGAUGACGGGCUAUUUAGGGGUAAAGCACUGUUUCGGUGCGGGCUGCGAAAGCGGUACCAAAUCGUGGCAAACUAAGAAUACUAAAUAUGCUUUCCAUCAACCAGUAAGACAGUGGGGGAUAAGCUUCAUUGUCAAAAGGGAAACAGCCCAGAUCACCAGUUAAGGCCCCAAAGUGAUGGCUAAGUGAUAAAGGAAGUAAAAAGGCAAAGACAACCAGAAGGUUUGCUUAGAAGCAGCCAUCCUUGAAAGAGUGCGUAAUAGCUCACUGGUAGAGCCUUUUUGCGCCGAAAAUGAACGGGGCUAAGUCAUCCGCCGAAACUGUGGGUUACAGUUAAAAUACUGUUACGGUAGAGGAGCGUUCCGUUAUAGGGUGAAGUUAAAAUGUGAAUUUUAAUGGACGAAACGGAAGUGAGAAUGUCGGCUUGAGUAACGAAAACAUUGGUGAGAAUCCAAUGCCCCGAAAACCUAAGGGUUCCUUCACAAGGUUCGUCCAUGGAGGGUUAGUCAGGACCUAAGGCGAGAUCGAAAGGUGUAGUCGAUGGAAAACAGAUUAAUAUUCCUGUACUUGAUUAGGUUUGGUAAAGAGGGACGGAGAAGGCGGUAACUAGCUAGAUAUUGGUAUUCUAGUAGAAGUAUUGAAUUCUUAAAACAAUGAAAAAAAACUUUGUUUAGAAAACAUGCGACCUGACUGGAACUUUAUUAUAUAAAGUUUCGGUUUAGUUUUAGUCAUACUUCCAAGAAAAGCUCUUAUUACCAUUAAAUUUAAUCAACCUGUACCCUAAACUGACACAAGUAGGUAGGUAGAGAAUACUAAGGGGCGCGAGAUAACUCUCUCUAAGGAACUCGGCAAAAUGGCCCCGUAACUUCGGGAGAAGGGGUGCCUAUAUUAUAUAGGCCGCAGUGACCAGGCCCAGGCGACUGUUUAUCAAAAACACAGGUCUCCGCAAAGUCGUAAGACAAUGUAUGGGGGCUGACGUCUGCCCAGUGCCGGAAGGUAAAAGAAGUUGGUUAUUCCUCGGAAAAAGCUGACGACUGAAGCCCCGGUGAACGGCGGCUGUAACUCUGACAGUCCUAAGGUUAAUACACGAUAUUACGCUAAAUCGCUAGCCUUAGUAAAACCGAACUAAAUGCUGGAAACUCCCCAAAAACAUAACUCUACUCGACUUUUAUAUUACAACAAUAUCGGGACUAACUUUUCGAGGUUAACUCUUGGAGACGUGUUAAAAGUAAGUCAGUAAUAAUGAGAAUGGCACGAGGACAAUCAGCAGGAAAGACUAAUAUACAAUUAGAAUCCUCAGAGACUAUACGUUUGGAGAUAUAAAAACAAAUAAAACUAUGACACAAUUAGAAUCACAAUGGAUUGUUGGGUUUGUAGAUGGAGAAGGGUGUUUUUUUAUAGGACUAAAUAAAAAUCCAGAAAUGACACUUGGAAUUCAAGUUUUACCAGAAUUUUCUGUUGUUCAGCAUAAACGUGAUGAACAAAUACUAUACGCUUUAAAAGAUUUUUGGAAAUUUGGUGUUGUAAGAAAAAACCACGGUGAUCGAUUAUGUUAUCGAGUUCGAGGUGUUGAACAUUUAAAUAAAACCAUUAUACCUUUUUUUGAAAAGCACAGUUUAAAAACAAAGAAAAAGGUAGAUUUUUUAAAGUUUCGAAAAGUUUUACAAUUAAUUGAAAGCAAAAAACAUUUAACUGUUGAAGGCUUACUUAAAAUUGAUUCUCUUCGACUUGAAAUGAACACAGGCAAAUCAAAGAAAAAACUUAUUCUAAUUGAUGGUAAAUUAGAUUUAAUUGAUAUCUAAGAUAGAGUCCAGCCUUUCUUGAAAAAGUUAGGAUAUAACUGAGCGAAAUUCCUUGUCGAGUAAGUUUCGACCCGCACGAAAGACGUAACGAUCUGGGCACUGUCUCGGAGAGAGACUCGGUGAAAUAGAAAUGUCUGUGAAGAUGCGGACUACUUAUACCAGGACAGAAAGACCCUAUGAAGCUUGACUGUAAUUUGGAAUUGGAUUCGGGCUUUUUUUGCGCAGUCUAGGUGGGAGGCGUUGAUAUUAAGUUUUCGGACUUAAUUGAGCCAUCAGU